AUUAAACGCUGGCGGAAUGCUUUACACAUGCAAGUCGAGCGGCAGCGCGGGGGCAACCCUGGCGGCGAGCGGCGAACGGGUGAGUAACAUAUCGGAACGUACCCCGUCGUGGGGGAUAACACAGCGAAAGCUGUGCUAAUACCGCAUACGACCUGAGGGUGAAAGCGGGGGAUCGCAAGACCUCGCGCGAUGGGAGCGGCCGAUAUCGGAUUAGCUUGUUGGUGAGGUAAAGGCUCACCAAGGCGACGAUCCGUAGCUGGUCUGAGAGGACGACCAGCCACACUGGAACUGAGACACGGUCCAGACUCCUACGGGAGCAGCAGUGGGAAUUUUGGGACAAUGGGGGCAACCCUGGAUCCAGCCAUUCCGCGUGAGUGAAGAAGGCCUC
RNAcentral lists this ribosomal RNA (388 nucleotides) under uncultured bacterium. Its description in RNAcentral is "bacterial SSU rRNA". It matches the Rfam family "Bacterial small subunit ribosomal RNA", at positions 29 to 418 of the family's 1533-position model. The record is from RNAcentral.